Molecule: long non-coding RNA, 2430 nt
Filed under: Hordeum vulgare
Lineage: Eukaryota; Viridiplantae; Streptophyta; Magnoliopsida; Poales; Poaceae
Description: long non-coding RNA (HVUL_LNC004504)
Source: RNAcentral
AUCUAUGGAUUUUAGGAUCCCAGUUAAGUGUACAUCUCAAUCUAAAAUACUUGCCUUACUUCACCAAACUUCCACGUUCUAUAACCUAGCCGCCAACCUUUCUCUUCUAAUUCAUGGAGCUAAUCACGUCCUCUAACCUGGCCAGCAUCCAACUUCCUGAUCUUGGUGAAGGCCGGCCAUACUCAGGUACAUCUUCCAUCUGCUUUGCCAUGACACUUCAUGCCUCUUUUAGAAGAAAAAUAUUCUUCUGUCACUGCCUGCAGUGUCCGUUAGUGAUGAGGGUUCCAAUCCUGGCAUCUAUCCAAUCCUUUGCCUAGAUAGUUAAAGCAACGCACGAAUGCCACGCUGCCACCGUUGUCGAUGAGACAUGGUGUGUUUCAUCGAUCGUUCUGUGCAUCUGCUCAUCUGCAAAUUACAACGGUAAGAAUUCAACCUGAAAUCCUCUCAGCACAUGUCACUUUGACUUGCAGGCCUGCAGCAGCAACAGCGACCACAGCUGGCCUCCCGGAGUCGUCAAUGACUGCAACAUCGUCCACAUGCACGACCUUACCAUCAUUUUAUCCUCUAUUUAUGAGGAACCUAAUACGUUGAAUAUUUUCAGUGAGGUCUGCCGGCCGGUACUUUUCUCAGUGUAUCAAAUACCCGUACGUGGUGGAUUGAUACCGUAGAGAUGUUCAAGUACAUCAUAUUGCAUUCAAGGCUGCUGGAUGCAUGGAUCGAUUCUGAAAUAACAAAGGACGCACGUACGGUCCUAUUUUUUCUUGCACCCCCUCAGCUUUGUGUAGUUAAUGCCAAACGCACACUGUCACUGUUGUGUAUUCUUCUUGCUUUGCUGACUCUUUUCCGGUUGUAUUCACUGCAUGCACAUCACUACAUCAGCACAGUCAAUUUGCAAUCUUAUUGCAUGUGACGCAUGCACCAUGCAGCCUUAUAAGAUGGAUGGAGUCAUGGAAGAUUGCCUUAUUCACAUAAGAAGAAAGCCUAGAGCCAUCUAAAGUCACGAGAUUGGUAUAUUUCUUUUGGCUACUUCAUCUAUUCCUAAUGCUAUCUAGCAAGUUAAUUUUAGAGGAGCUUCAUUUGGACGCAUACAGUAAAAAUCUAAAUCAUAUAUUCCUAAUGCUAUCUAGCAAGUCAAUUUUAGAUUACUUAUGGACCCUAAACUGAAAGUGUAAUAUUAUUUGUGACAUCUUUUUAUGCCAAUAGUACUACUUAAUUUACCAAGUAUUCUUCAUUCUCCAAUAUUAUGAUACUUUGCUUAUUCUCCAAAUUAUGUAUGUACCAUGCUCAUGAGAUAUAAAUAUGUUUUACUAUUGUUUAAAGUUAAUCAACUAAUGAUGUUUUUAAUGAUAUCCAAUGAACGUUUACCCAUCAUAUAGUACAAUAGAAGACAAAUGAUAUGCUUACUUUCAGGUAUACAAAAUAUGUGGACUAAGUGUAAAUUGGAUUACCGCCUCAUGUUUCUAAAGUCUCUGUUUAGAGCUAUUUGAAAUAAACAAUUAACAUAUAUUUUUUGAGUCAUGUCCAUGGAAACCUAAUUAGUUGUCAUGUGUUUUUACAACAAUACAUAUCAUUUUCCGGUGUUACAAGUUACUUUCCUGACUUUUGUAGUAUGUUUCGAUAUAUUUCUAGAUGUUUUAAUUGUUAUGUGCAAAUAAUCUUAUAAAAUAUUAAUCUAUGGGUUACAUUAUAUAUAAUUUGUUUAUGUUACAUACAUGUAACAUGUGAAGUGAAAUAUAAAAAUAUUAGAAUAUAAUAUGUCAUCUAACUAGCCCGUGCGGAUGCAUGGGUUGACGAUUUUAACCAGAAGUCUUGCGCUGCAGGAUUCCUAGCCCACCACAGCGUCUCUUCAACCCUGAACCAGUUUAUGCUGCGCCUCUGCAACCUUAUUGGUCACCGUAGUCCAUGCAACAGCUAUCAUGAGGGCCUAUUGUCGUUACCGCGCAGCCCACGUUUAUCUGCUUGCUGCUAUUUCUGCUAUCGCUGAAACCAACCAGGAGUUACUGGCCUUAAGGCACCAAGGUAAAUUCUUAAUGUUCUUCUAUUUUUGUUUAUUCACAUAACAUAGUUAGAUUCUUUUAUUGUGCCUUGCUAAAAUCCACUUGAGCCAGUAAACCUUUUAAACUUGUUGCUCCUAAUUAAUUACUUUUAAAUAUGCAUGUGUGAUCUCUUAAANUAUGAUAUUGUAUUAUUAUAAUUGAGACUUGUUUAACUUUUGUAGGAAGCAAAGAAAAGGACAACACUCAAACAAAAGGAGAACACUCACAAGGAACCAUGAAGCCAGCGAUCCGUGUCACCUGGAUAUUUAGCCUUUAUUUUUUACAACACAUGUCUCAUACUAGCAUCUUUUAGCUGUCAUUUUUGUGAACCUGAUGUAUGGUGUCCUGGUGGUUAUGCUUGGAACAGAGUGUAUGUGAAAUUAAUUAAUGGNNN